RNAcentral lists this ribosomal RNA (253 nucleotides) under uncultured bacterium. RNAcentral's name for it is "partial 16S ribosomal RNA". It matches the Rfam family "Bacterial small subunit ribosomal RNA", at positions 524 to 776 of the family's 1533-position model. The record is from RNAcentral.
UACGUAGGUGGCAAGCGUUGUCCGGAUUUACUGGGCGUAAAGAGCGCGCAGGCGGCUGGUCAAGUCCGAUGUGAAAUCUCCCGGCUUAACUGGGAAACUGCAUCGGAAACUGAUCGGCUUGAAGGUGGGAGAGGGUAGUGGAAUUCCCGGUGUAGUGGUGAAAUGCGCAGAUAUCAGGAGGAACACCGGUGGCGAAGGCGGGUCUCUGGGCCGUAACUGACGCUGAGGAGCGAAAGCGUGGGGAGCGAACAGG